RNAcentral lists this ribosomal RNA (634 nucleotides) under uncultured fungus. RNAcentral's name for it is "eukaryotic LSU rRNA". It matches the Rfam family "Eukaryotic large subunit ribosomal RNA", at positions 24 to 664 of the family's 3401-position model. The record is from RNAcentral. Lineage: Eukaryota; Fungi.
CCCGCUGAACUUAAGCAUAUCAAUAAGCGGAGGAAAAGAAACUAACAAGGAUUCCCCUAGUAACUGCGAGUGAAGCGGGAAAAGCUCAAAUUUAAAAUCUGGCGGUCCUUGUGGCUGUCCGAGUUGUAAUCUAGAGAAGUGCUAUCCGCGCUGGACCGUGUACAAGUCUCCUGGAAUGGAGCGUCAUAGAGGGUGAGAAUCCCGUCCUUGACACGGAAUCCCGGUGCAUUGCGUUGCGCUUUCUAAGAGUCGAGUUGUUUGGGAAUGCAGCUCAAAUUGGGUGGUAAAUUCCAUCUAAAGCUAAAUAUUGGCGAGAGACCGAUAGCGAACAAGUACCGUGAGGGAAAGAUGAAAAGCACUUUGGAAAGAGAGUUAAACAGUACGUGAAAUUGUUGAAAGGGAAACGCUUGAAGUCAGUCUUGUCUUGUGGGACUCAGCCUAGCUCUGCUUGGUGCAUUUCCCAUUUGACAGGCCAGCGUCCAUUUUGACCGUCGGAAACGGGUUUUGGGAAUGUGGCUCCCCCGGGAGUGUUAUAGCCCUUGGCUUUUACGGCGGUUGGGAUGGAGUCUAACGGCACGCUUCGGUGGUGCUUGUGCUGGCGUAAUGGCUUUAAACGACCCGUCUUGAAACACGG